RNAcentral lists this long non-coding RNA (3223 nucleotides) under Macaca fascicularis (crab-eating macaque). RNAcentral describes it as "lncRNA (ENSMFAG00000060474.1)". The record is from RNAcentral. Lineage: Eukaryota; Metazoa; Chordata; Mammalia; Primates; Cercopithecidae.
AUUUUAAACUAUUUUCUGUAGCAAAACAAGUUAAAAUAUUUUGAGAAAAAUAAAUUUAAAUAAGACUAUCUUGAGAAAGCUGGAGUUCAUAAUAUUCCCCCCACCCUCCCCAGUCUCCUAGGUUUCCCUUUUCUGUGAUUUUUCGGGUUUUUUUGUUUGUUUCUUGAGACAGAGUCUUGCUCCAUCGCCCAGGCUAGAAUGCAGUGGCGCAUCUCGGCUCACUGCAACCUCUGCCUCCCGGGUUCAAGCGAUUCUUUUGCCUCAGCCUCCCAAGUAUCUGGGACUACAGGCAUGCGCCACCAUGCCUGGCUAAUUUUCUUGUAUUUUUAGUAGAGAUGACGUUUCACCUUGUUGGUCAGGCUGGUCUCGAACUCCUGACCUCAACUCCUACACCUCAUCUAUGGUGUAUUUUUGAAAGACAAUUUUUUAAAGGUAGAUUUUGGAAAAAAAAUAGAAUUGAAGAUGGGAAAUUUUGUUUUAUUAAAAAGGUGCUAGAAGGUAUUUCAAAGACAAUAUUCUUAUUUUAAUACGCUGUAGAAGGUAGGUGUGGAACCUCCAUGCUACCAUGUGCACGAACCUAAUUAUGCUUUCGGCCACUUGUCAGUUCAGUAAGUCUGCCUUCCUCUUCUCCCAAAUCAUGUCAUCUUUAGGUUGUUGACUUGCAGCUGCUUUAAAUGAAUUAGUAUCUUUCAGAUAGAUAACCUUACAAGGAGAAUGUUUGUUUUGAGCAGCUGACCAAAAAUGUAUCAAACAGGAUUAUGGCCAAAAAGUCGCUCAAAUUUCUAGAGGUUCCUUUAAAAGAUGUAUGUUGAUGAAAUUGCCCCUUUCUAAGAAAAACAACAGCAAGUCUUUUAGUAGAAAUUUGAAAGAAGUGUUUGCUACCAUUUUGACCCAUUAUUCCCUUACCUAUCAGAUGAAUUUGCCAUUCACUGGAUGGAAACCAUUCUUGGAUUUGGUAAGAGGUGAGCAACACAAAUCCAGUAUCUUAUUCUUAUGUACCAGCACUUCUGAUGGAGAAGCAGUGAAGUUCAGAACAUUCUUCACGUAGUCCAGAUACUGUUAGAGUCAGGCAAAUCAGCAAAGCACUUACUUGUUUAUGGAGUUGACCCAUGAUGGCUGCAGUUGUAAGUGGGCAUACGUAGUCUAUCAUUUUGAAGGAGAAAGAAAACCAUUCUCACAUGUUGCAAAUAUGUGAAUCAUACUGUAUUUCCCUAAAGUAAAACAUACCGUGACUUAGUGGUUUUUGGUUUAUUUAGAAGUUGGUUUAGACCCUUAUGAAACAUUAUUUACGAGCUGGCCUUAUCCUUAAGGGAAAAGUUCUAAAUUUUUAAAUUUAUUUUUAAAUCCCUAGUCUGAGGGAAAUGUCUUUAUCGUCCAUUACAUAAAAAUGUUGACUCCACUCAUUUAUUUUUCUCCAUUUUUUCCUCCAUGCAUUUAUUCUAUUUUUCUCUAUUUUUUUCUUCCCUGUUGGAUUUGCAGAAAUGUUAACCAAUUAGCUCAACUUUUCUGUACCUUUGUUGAGUCUUAAUCUUUUCGAAGAUAGGCUCCUCGUAUAUUUAUGAAGCAUACUAUAUUAAGAGAAAACAAAUCUAGGAUGCUUGCAUGACAUAAAGUAUUUACCUGCAGUUUUCCUUAAAAACUGCAAGAAUAUCAUGCUUGUCUGCUCCUUAGUAAAUGUUAAGUCUGAAAUGGAAGUGAGGAUGUAACUCUACUGAAUAAUCAAAGAUCAUCUUAGAUUUGGCUUGAUCUGUGUUUAUUGCUUCUAUUAAUGUAAAUCAACUCUGUGCCAAAUCCUCCUCCACAGGAACACAAACCAUUUAUUGUCUUAGUUCUAGUGAUAUCAAUGAAAAUAGUUACAGUAUAUGAAUUCUAAGUCCUGAGGAAGAAAUUUUAUAGGCUUUGUUAAGUUUCACAUUUGUAAAAGAGGAAAUUAGUAUUCAGACUUCGAUAUUUGGCUGUUAAUGGGAUGCAUAUCAAAUUUUUAAAAGAAAGCUUGGCCUAAGGAGUUUAUUGGUACAGGUGCAGAUGAUUUUAAGGCAUUAAAGGAUUAUAGAGUUAUGUCAUUUAGACUGUUUCUAAUAACAGACCAGCUAACAUUUUUCUUUUGGAGUCUCAUUUUUAUUUGUGCAAUAUUUUCAGGCAUAUAGGCUACUGUUCAUUGUAUUUAUAUAUAUAUUAGAAUUUACUAAGUACUUUAACAAGUAAAAAUCUGAAUAUGAAAGAAAAUAUCAGAUUUGCACUUUAAAUGAGCUUAAUUGCUUGGAGUUGUGCCUGAAAUAUCGAAAUGCCUCCUGUUGGGUAUGGCUUUGUUGAAAUAAAUUUGUAAUUGUUGCUGUUUGAAGAUAUCAGUACAGCUGUUCACAGAACUAUAUUCCCAGCAUGUCACUUUUCCCAUUAAAGCACUAAGUUUUCUUUGAAUGUUCCAUUGUCCUGAUAAGUAUUUUACUUUUUUCUCAGUACAUCAAAGAGCGCGUGAUGCCCCUACAGCUGUCACUUCCAAAUGUUCCUAUAGCAUAAAUGGUGUUACAGACACGGGGGUGCAUUCUUGGUUUCUGAGCAGAGUUGUCAUACUGGUUUCCUGGUCUCUAGGGUACUGGGGAUGUACUUUGAAAUCACCGAACAGGCUUGCAAUUAAGAUCAAUAAGACUGCAGCACCAUUUCAAUUUGCUUUCCAUCUUACACAGUAGUUUUUGUGUUUUUAAAUUCGUUUGGGUGGUUAUGUUUGCAUGCUUAUGCACACAUUUGAAAAUUAAUUAUAGCUGUACUACCUGAUGUUUUUCCUUGGGGAUGACGGCCUUGUUACUUUUUAAAUUCUCAUGCUUGAAUUAUGUUUUCUAAUGAUCUUUCACAUCUCCCUUUAAGUUUUUUGCUGCAGCAAUUUGAGAGAAUACUUUUGAUUAAAUGAUUCUGAUGGUGGGCACCAAUCUACAACUGUGUCAUUAACUGAAGAUACAUGUUUUAAUCUUGUUGGGAAUAAGCUCACCCACUUUCUCCUUGGUAAAGCAUUUACUUAACAAAAUAAUACCCUGAGAAUGUAAGGUCUCUAAGUCAUUACUAACAAAGAGCAAAAAUAAUAUCUGCAGUAUUGUUUUUCCUAUUGAUUUUAAAAGUCAGUUUAGAGUACAAACUGUAUAUUAGAAUUUGCUUGUAAAAUGAAUUCUAAAAAACAGAUGUAAAGUGUCUCCUGAAAAUGUUGGCAUAGUAAAUAAAAAUAAAGUUCAUA